AGCGAACGCUGGCGGCAGGCUUAACACAUGCAAGUCGAACGCCCGUAGCAAUACGGGAGUGGCAGACGGGUGAGUAACGCGUGGGAACAUGCCCUUUGGUUCGGAAUAACUCAGGGAAACUUGAGCUAAUACCGGAUCAGCCCGAGAGGGGAAAGAUUUAUCGCCGAAGGAUUGGCCCGCGUCCGAUUAGCUAGUUGGUGAGGUAAUGGCUCACCAAGGCGACGAUCGGUAGCUGGUCUGAGAGGAUGAUCAGCCACACUGGGACUGAGACACGGCCCAGACUCCGACGAGAGGCAGCAGUGGGGAAGAUUUGACAAUGGGGGCAACCCUGGUCCAGCCACGCCGCGUGAGUGAUGAAGGCCCUAGCGUUGUAAAGCUCUUUCGGCGGGGACGAUAAUGACGGGACCCGCAGAAGAAGCCCCGGCUAACGUCGUGCCAGCCGCCGCGGUAA
Molecule: ribosomal RNA, 451 nt
Filed under: uncultured bacterium
Lineage: Bacteria
Description: partial 16S ribosomal RNA
Rfam family: Bacterial small subunit ribosomal RNA
Source: RNAcentral